Molecule: ribosomal RNA, 352 nt
Filed under: Cochlicella acuta
Lineage: Eukaryota; Metazoa; Mollusca; Gastropoda; Stylommatophora; Geomitridae
Description: partial large subunit ribosomal RNA
Rfam family: Bacterial large subunit ribosomal RNA
Source: RNAcentral
UGUGCAAAGGUAGCAUAAUCAAUUGGCUUGUAAUUUAAGUCUGGUAUGAAUGUAGUUUUAGGUUAAAGCUGUCUCUUUAUGUUAAUUGAAAUUUACUUGGCCGGUGAAAAAACCGGCAGCAAAAUAAUAGACGAGAAGACCCUAGAAAUUUUAUGAAAGGUAUAGUAAUAUAUAUAUUGGAUUUUGUUGGGGCGACAGAGUAACAGUUAACUUACUCUAUUUGAUGUGAAUUAAUUAUGAAAAUGUAAAUUACUCUAGGGAUAACAGCAUAAUUCUAUUAGUGUUUGUGACCUCGAUGUUGGACUAGGAAAGAUAAUAUUCAGAAGAUAUUAUUAUAGGCUCUGUUCGCGCC